GACAGCUCACUUGGUAGAGCAUGAGACUCUUAAUCUCAGGGUCACAGGUUUGAGUCCCAUGUUGGGCA
Molecule: transfer RNA, 68 nt
Filed under: Podarcis lilfordi (Lilford's wall lizard)
Lineage: Eukaryota; Metazoa; Chordata; Lepidosauria; Squamata; Lacertidae
Description: tRNA.Lys
Rfam family: tRNA (bases 4-60)
About the family: Transfer RNA (tRNA) molecules are approximately 80 nucleotides in length. Their secondary structure includes four short double-helical elements and three loops (D, anti-codon, and T loops). Further hydrogen bonds mediate the characteristic L-shaped molecular structure. tRNAs have two regions of fundamental functional importance: the anti-codon, which is responsible for specific mRNA codon recognition, and the 3' end, to which the tRNAs corresponding amino acid is attached (by aminoacyl-tRNA synthetases). tRNAs cope with the degeneracy of the genetic code in two manners: having more than one tRNA (with a specific anti-codon) for a particular amino acid; and 'wobble' base-pairing, i.e. permitting non-standard base-pairing at the 3rd anti-codon position.
Source: RNAcentral